AUUGAACGCUGGCGGCAGGCCUAACACAUGCAAGUCGAACGGUAACAGGAAACAGCUUGCUGUUUCGCUGACGAGUGGCGGACGGGUGAGUAAUGUCUGGGAAACUGCCUGAUGGAGGGGGAUAACUACUGGAAACGGUAGCUAAUACCGCAUAACGUCGCAAGACCAAAGAGGGGGACCUUCGGGCCUCUUGCCAUCUGAUGUGCCCAGAUGGGAUUAGCUAGUAGGUGGGGUAACGGCUCACCUAGGCGACGAUCCCUAGCUGGUCUGAGAGGAUGACCAGCCACACUGGAACUGAGACACGGUCCAGACUCCUACGGGAGGCAGCAGUGGGGAAUAUUGCACAAUGGGCGCGAGCCUGAUGCAGCCAUGCCGCGUGUAUGAAGAAGGCCUUCGGGUUGUAAAGUACUUUCAGCGGGGAGGAAGGGAGUAAAGUUAAUACCUUUGCUCAUUGACGUUACCCGCAGAAGAAGCACCGGCUAACUCCGUG
RNAcentral lists this ribosomal RNA (490 nucleotides) under uncultured bacterium. Its description in RNAcentral is "partial 16S ribosomal RNA". It matches the Rfam family "Bacterial small subunit ribosomal RNA", at positions 30 to 507 of the family's 1533-position model. The record is from RNAcentral.